CUCGAUGCAGUUUCCGGUUAUAGAUGCAUUCCCGUCAUUGGAGGAUAUCGAUAUCCUCGAAAGGGGGGAAAAACGGUUCGUUUCGUGGAUUGGACAACUUGUGAUUCGUUAAAUUGCCAGGGAAGCAAAAACUGUGACGCGGUUGACGUUGGUCCGAUGAGUUACCGAACAUCGAUAGCGAAUUGGAUUGAUCAACGUGACGUGUCGAACGCGUGCUACUUACCAACCCUAACAAACUCUAUCGACGCCUCGUGUCCUGAGAAAUUGCGAAUUCCUCUGUACCUCUCACGAGGUUCGUCAGGAGGAAAAGUUUUAUCAGAGAAUCGAUGAGACGACGCGGGCGGAAUUUUAACUAGAAUUCGAAAUGGCGAGGAAUUUUCUCAAAGAAUUUCUCGUUUACCAAUUUCUAUCUCCCUUUUCUCGCAGCCAACCAAGUCUCGACCGGUUGAGUUCCCGAGGACAAAGCACCGGUAUUUUCUAGGUUAGUCGCUCGAGAAAACGGUAGCCCGAUAACAUGAUGCCAUUCCGGACGAUAAAUAUACAUACAGGUAUUUACACAUGCUAUACAUAUAACGAAUAUACAUAGAUUGUAUAUAGGUAAAUUACCUAUAUACAAGCAAAAUAAACGCGCAUGAAACGUAUACACAGGUACAGCCUAGAUUAAAUCCGGUUCUCUACGAAAUCCCAGAAAUCACGGUACCCACCGAUCCAUGCAACGCUACGGUCAGCAAUACUUUACACCUGUCACACUGCUUAAACCUAAUUAGACAUGACGGGCUUAAUCUUGCGACGCUUAAUGGGCUCGUUGAACGAAAAUAGGUAACGAUCUUCUCUUUCUCGUUUUGGAUAAUACGAUCAAAUGUUCUGAGAAAUUUUGCAACGAUCUCGUUUACCAAUCGUCGAACUAAUAAUUUAACAACUGUUACCUUCUGUCGAUACGAGAUCGUCGUCGGCUCGUCUUCGUUAAUUAUCGGAGAAGUUCGUACAUUGGAGCAAUCAAGCGGCGCAUCGCCGACUCGUUAGCGUUGAAAUUACGUUUCAGUUAGCUAGUCGACUGUCUUAAUGACUCGAACUUUGAUGAUCAAAGAAAAAGAAAAAGAUUUCGAAGUGAUCGUCUAUAAUCGUGUAACCAUGUGAAAAAAUAUUAAUGAAGUUGUAUUAUACAGAAAAAUAUUAAGUGCCAAACUUUGUCAAUAUAUAAUGAGCAUAAAAUGUUGUAUAUACAUAAUUCUGCGAACGUUAAUAAAAAUAUGGAAUUCGAAGGAACAGUAGCGGGCGUAGUUACUGCGAUAUAAUGAUGAAAUAUAGAUAAUUUCAAACGAACCCGAAUAGAUGAAACUGCAACCCCCUGAAAUCUGUCGCUCGUUUAUCAUCCAUGUGAUCAUUCGUGGUGGAACGAAGCUGUUUUCAAAGCGAAGCAUGAUAUUGCGAUAAAAAAUUGUGCAGAAAAACGAUAAUGGAUGAUAAUUUUUUUUCUCUCUCUCUUUUCUAAUCUAUACUCUCGAGAUUGUUUAUCGAUCUUUUCGAAAUUAUACUGCAUAAAAGAGAAGGCAGACGAGGAGGAAGACAUUUUUUUUUCCAACUAUCUUUUCUUUUUCUAAGAUCUCGUGGCUUUUUCCUUUCGUUGGCCCUUGCUAUCUCGCGUGAAAAGGGAAAGCUGCUGCGAGUAAACGAAACCCUUUUAUUCCAGAUAUCUUUAAUCGUGCCGACAUAAAGAAUGUCUACGACACUGAAAGUCGUAGAGAGGUCACCGCCUAGGUCAUUCAGCAAGCUAGACAAUACCUUCUUUUAUCAAGACCAAACAGAUAUCUGCUUUGCACGUGCAUUUAUUCGCGAAUUCCUUUCCUUUUUCUUAUUACAUUGUUGUUUAAAAGUUUGAAUGCGAAAAAUUU
This 1892-nucleotide long non-coding RNA is filed under the name Apis dorsata (giant honeybee). Its description in RNAcentral is "uncharacterized LOC116185615". Lineage: Eukaryota; Metazoa; Arthropoda; Insecta; Hymenoptera; Apidae. The record is from RNAcentral.